Molecule: ribosomal RNA, 581 nt
Filed under: uncultured bacterium
Lineage: Bacteria
Description: bacterial SSU rRNA
Rfam family: Bacterial small subunit ribosomal RNA
Source: RNAcentral
ACGGGUGAGUAAUGUCUGGGAAACUGCCUGAUGGAGGGGGAUAACUACUGGAAACGGUAGCUAAUACCGCAUAACGUCGCAAGAUCAAAGAGGGGGACCUUCGGGCCUCUUGCCAUCAGAUGUGCCCAGAUGGGAUUAGCUAGUAGGUGGGGUAACGGCUCACCUAGGCGACGAUCCCUGGCUGGUCUGAGAGGAUGACCAGCCACACUGGAACUGAGACACGGUCCAGACUCCUACGGGAGGCAGCAGUGGGGAAUAUUGCACAAUGGGCGCAAGCCUGAUGCAGCCAUGCCGCGUGUAUGAAGAAGGCCUUCGGGUUGUAAAGUACUUUCAGCGGGGAGGAAGGUGUUGUGGUUAAUAACCACAGCAAUUGACGUUACCCGCAGAAGAAGCACCGGCUAACUCCGUGCCAGCAGCCGCGGUAAUACGGAGGGUGCAAGCGUUAAUCGGAAUUACUGGGCGUAAAGCGCACGCAGGCGGUCUGUCAAGUCGGAUGUGAAAUCCCCGGGCUCAACCUGGGAACUGGAUUCGAAACUGGCAGGCUAGAGUCUUGUAGAGGGGGGUAGAAUUCCAGGUGUAGC